Molecule: ribosomal RNA, 253 nt
Filed under: uncultured bacterium
Lineage: Bacteria
Description: partial 16S ribosomal RNA
Rfam family: Bacterial small subunit ribosomal RNA
Source: RNAcentral
UACGGAGGGUGCAAGCGUUAUCCGGAUUUACUGGGUUUAAAGGGUGCGUAGGUGGGUCUGUAAGUCAGUGGUGAAAUCUCCGAGCUUAACUCGGAAACUGCCGUUGAUACUAUAGGUCUUGAAUUAUCUGGAGGUAAGCGGAAUAUGUCAUGUAGCGGUGAAAUGCUUAGAUAUGACAUAGAACACCAAUUGCGAAGGCAGCUUACUACGGAUAUAUUGACACUGAGGCACGAAAGCGUGGGGAUCAAACAGG